AGAAGCAGAAAGAUGGAUACAACUCUAAUUUUGUCUUGUUUUUACUUUAAUACAGUUCCUGGUGAGAGGCUUUAAUAAUCAUUUUGAAAAAGCAUGUCCCUAAAUUAUGCUACGUCAAAAUUAUAAACAGUAUCAAAGGAGGAAAUAGCUGUCAAAUUUUUGUUUCCAGUCAAAUGCCAAUGAAGCUUGGUCAGUUUUGGGAUAACUCUCUACUGGAAUGCAGAAACAACCCAAACAGGUAAUGUUCUGGAUGUAGCUUGCUUCAGGCAUAUGUAUUGGCUGUUUGGCAUCCAUUGCUAAGGAAGAACAAGUUGGUAUUGAUGCUGAAAGGCAAUGUCCUACUCUCACCUUGCCAUGGGCAAAUUAUUCCUCAUCCUCUGCAUACCAGUUUCUUAUGCCAUACAAAGAACAAGAGCGAGGAAAUGGCUUGGUUUAAAAAACUAACCCAGAAAAGAAACAAAACAAAAACAACUAAUAAUCUUAUCCUGGAGCACCUUAUCCAUCUGAUGGAGUGGAAGCACAGAACAGCAUCAGCCACAGGCUCAGUGGCAGUGCCGGCAUCUGCUUAUCCAAAGUGAGUGUACAUCACUUGCCCUAGAGGCAGCAGAAUGCACAUCUCCCUUUCUAUUUCCUUUCCUUGGAGUCACAUCUAAAUUUUCUAAAUGAGAACUGCGUAAUUCAAAGCACGUUACUUUCUGACUCUGCAAUCCAGAAAAUGAUCAAGAAAUGUGAACUGUGUUGAGUCACUGUAGUGAUCCACUGCUUGAAACCCAACAGCACUAUUACUACUAAUAGCACACAUUAACUGUUUCAGAACUAAUCUGCAAAUUUCUAUCAAUUCUGUGUGCUAGUCAGAUAAAUGAAUAUAUAUGCACAUACAAUGUUCUUCUUGAUAACUUCUUUUGAUAUUUUUCUUGAUUAAAAAGCAUAAUAACACAAUACAUAGCCUGAGAACUACAGAAAAUUAGAUAAUUCUACCAGCAAAUUUUGAGUUAGGGUGAAGAUGAAGCAAUAGGGAAAUUGGAAGAUAUAGAUCCCUGUUAUUCUGUAAAUUUCUCUGUAGAAAAGAAAUAAUAAUUUCCUUGAAAACUAUGAUAUUCCUCUCCAUUUAAGUUCUCUCUCACCCUAUAACAAUUUCUUAAUACUACAUCUGUUAUUUACCAGUGCCUUUUCUGAACUGACAGCCUCAUUCUUCCAGACACAGUGUUCCUCCUGCAGCUUGUUUGCCUCAUGGUGAUGCAUCCCCCCAGGCCCUCUGUGAGCUCCCAUUCUCAGAU
RNAcentral lists this long non-coding RNA (1277 nucleotides) under Gallus gallus (chicken). RNAcentral describes it as "lncRNA (ENSGALG00010005907.1)". The record is from RNAcentral. Lineage: Eukaryota; Metazoa; Chordata; Aves; Galliformes; Phasianidae.